RNAcentral lists this ribosomal RNA (275 nucleotides) under uncultured bacterium. Its description in RNAcentral is "partial 16S ribosomal RNA". It matches the Rfam family "Bacterial small subunit ribosomal RNA", at positions 523 to 796 of the family's 1533-position model. The record is from RNAcentral.
ACACGUAGGGCGCAAGCGUUGUCCGGAUUUAUUGGGCGUAAAGGGCUCGUAGGCGGUUUCGUAAGUCGGGUGUGAAAACUCAGGGCUCAACCCUGAGACGCCACUCGAUACUGCGAUGACUUGAGUCCGGUAGGGGAGCAGGGAAUUCCUGGUGUAGCGGUGAAAUGCGCAGAUAUCAGGAGGAACACCAUUAGCGAAGGCGCUGCUCUGGGCCGGUUCUGACGCUGAGGAGCGAAAGCAUGGGGAGCAAACAGGAUUAGAAACCCCAGUAGUCC